This 460-nucleotide ribosomal RNA is filed under the name uncultured bacterium. Its description in RNAcentral is "partial 16S ribosomal RNA". It matches the Rfam family "Bacterial small subunit ribosomal RNA", at positions 338 to 795 of the family's 1533-position model. The record is from RNAcentral.
CCUACGGGAGGCAGCAGUGAGGAAUAUUGGUCAAUGGGCGCGAGCCUGAACCAGCCAAGUCGCGUGAAGGAUGACGGCCCUACGGGUUGUAAACUUCUUUUGUCAGGGAGCAAUUGGGUCCACGCGUGGGCUUAGCGAGAGUACCUGAAGAAAAAGCAUCGGCUAACUCCGUGCCAGCAGCCGCGGUAAUACGGAGGAUGCGAGCGUUAUCCGGAUUUAUUGGGUUUAAAGGGUGCGUAGGCGGAAUAUCAAGUCAGCGGUAAAAAUUCGGGGCUCAACCCCGUCGUGCCGUUGAAACUGGUGGUCUUGAGUGGACGAGAAGUAGGCGGAAUGCGGGGUGUAGCGGUGAAAUGCAUAGAUAUCACGCAGAACACCGAUUGCGAAGGCAGCAUACCGGCGUCCAACUGACGCUGAAGCACGAAAGCGUGGGUAUCGAACAGGAUUAGAUACCCUAGUAGUC